UGGAAGUGCGGUUUGGAAGCGGUACACAUCUGAAGGGGGGCUACCUACGUGUUGGGGUAGUUUGGUGCAUGGGAAAGAAAACUGGGCGUGCCCAUAGGAUGUGUGUAGAGGAUAAUAGGUUUAUAGGAUGCAUGCCAAGAUGGAGAGGACGUAAGUGGGAGUUAGGUAGGUGUUUGCUGUGUAUGAAAAUAGAGCUGUAACUGACUGAUCAGGGAGGCAAGAUGUGAGGAGACUCCUGCUGCAAGAAGAGGUAUUGAUACUCAUGCUACUAUUCUCAACACUGACUUUUGGCAUGGAAAGAGCAAUCCCCACAUCGACCUGUGCUUCAGUAUUCUAGAAGAGGAGAGCAGCUUCCCACUACUGUUUCAAGGCCACUGCUAUAGAGCAUCUUUCCUUACCUGAAGAUGUUGAGCUGGAAGAUCUUAUGACAGUGCAUUUGAUGUUGACUGUAACUGUCUCUGCACUGCAGACAAUUACAUCCCUUUUGGUGCCUACUGUAGUGACUUCAGCAUUGCUUCCAUUGUCUUGGAUUCCAGUGUUGGGUCCACAAUGUUUGUCUGCAAAAGAGAGUGAAGAUCAAUGGGCUUCGGUUUUGGUAUUGGAGAAUUUUUAUUACUCUGAAGAUGACUCUACCUACACUAAUAACCUUCAGAGCCAUUGGGAGAUAAUGCAGUGUGGCUUAGGAAGUUAUCAUCUUCCUCAGAAGACUUAGAAAACCACAGUCUUCAUAACCUGGACACAACAAAGACUCCUGAUCUACUCAUUAAAAAACCUCCAUACAAACUGAGGACCCUGUGUUUAAAUUUGUGCAUACCUUUUCCUCUUCUUGCUCUGUAGCUUUCCCUGUGCUGCCAUAUUUGGUUUAAACAGCCAAGCAAAUUCGCAUUAAGCCUCCUUCUGUUUUCAAAUCUACCUCUGGGAGAUUUGAAAAUAUGUAUAGCCUGCAGGUGGAGGAGUGUACUUUUACCUCGUCCUUACCUCUAUAGUGCUCGGCCAUAUUUGAUAGUGCAUACUUAUAGUGCUCGGCCAUACCAGUUGCAGACCCUCAGCACCGGUGGACAAGUAGAGUCAUAAACUGGACUCUCUGGGAAAGAGAUUUUAAUUCCACUUCAUCUCUUUCUAUCUGUAUUGCCAACUUUAUGUAAUAUAUGUCAAAAUUCUAACAUUCCCUUUGGGAGCAGUUACGAGGACACCUUUACUUCUGUCUGGAAGAUUUAAAGAAGUAUUUUCUGACUUUGUGCUAAGUCAGAGGAUCUGGCGAACAACUGAUUCGGAAUAUGAACCAUUCACUGGACUGUGAAUCUAAGAAUCUGGUGUGGACAGUGGUGUUGAGUUGUCAUGCCUGGUUCUGUUCUUCCUCAUUACCAGACAUCAGAGAAAGGAUUGAGGAUCUCCUUUUCAAUGGCAAUGGUCUGGUUAGCGCCUAAACUGACAAGAUGUUGGAGAAGCUAAAAAGUCAAAAUUUACAGUACUCAACAAUUCAACUCAAUUCAGAUUGUAAAUGUAGUAAAUUGCUUCACUUCUUCCUUCUUUAUUUUGAAUACAGUGCAGAGAUGUUUCCAGUCUUCUGCAUCUUACAUUUUAUCCAGCACUCUUCCUGUGUUAUGAAAUAGCCUGUGAAUAAUGUCAAAAGACAGAUAGUUAUGCCAGCUAACAGGCAUGUGGCCACACUGUGCACUUCCAGGGCCUCCAGAGACUCACUCCUGCUUCCCCCCACACCUUUGGGGAGCACUGGAGUUGCUCAUCCACCCACACUCUCUCCACACUGGGUGCAUUGCCCUUUUGCCCGCUGCACUGGGUACUUCGUUCAUGCACCAUUGGAGUUUGGUUGGGUGAGCAGAGAAAGAACACAUUUGCCCCUAUCCCAACGGUGCGUGGAUGAAGCGCUGAGUGCAGCAAACAGAUGAGCGCAGCAUGCCUGUCUUGCUACUAGUGACCAUGCCCCUUGCAUAUAUUGUCAUAUGUAGGGGUGUGGCCAUCACCACAGGGGCGGGGCCACCAAUCAAAAUCUUCACAGCUGCCGGCGAGCUCCCUACACCCCGUCAGCUUAUAUUGAUGGAGCUAAGUUGAUGAGUUGGACACUAGCUAAAAAAUCAAACCAAGAGCUAACUUACCUUCAUUAAAAAUUGUUUUGAAUUUUGUAUGCAGAACAUAUUUUGUCACACUGCAUAUUUUAAUGUAUUUAAUAUAUGCAGUGCAUGCUGUAUAUGUAUAUAGCUCUCUCACAUGCAUGCACAUACCAGUUGUUCAGUUGGCUGUGAAGGCUGGAUUCCUGAACAGCCCCAGUGUAUCUAGAGCUACUUGUAGUUGGAAGAAGGGCUGUUAAAGCUAGCCAGGAACAAUACAAGGGGAGACGAACAGAAAGCUGUUUGGAGUGAAUUCAAGAUUAAGAACUUUGAGAGCAGUUAGCACCUGGAUAGCAGACUAAUCAGGUACACAGGUUACUUGGUCAUAGUAUUCUCCACUAUGGUGAGCUGUAUUGUAUUUCUAUUUAAAUUAACAGUAAUCAUCUCUAAACUUCCAUUUAUACAUUGUUUUAUCCUUUGUCCUCCUUUUUUUUUUUUUUUUGGCAAUGUGCACUUGGCUACCCUAGCUAUCAUAGGUAGGUUCUAUGGUAGAUUGUGCAAUUUUAAGUAGGAGCAGAUUUAUUUAUUUAUUCAUUCAGUUUCUAUACCAUCCUUCCAAAAAUGGCUCAGGGUGGUUUACACAUAAAAAUAAUAAAUAAAUGAGAUGGAUCCCUGUCCCCAAAGGGCUCACAAUCUAAAAAGAAACAUUAGAUAGACACCAGCAACAGUCACUGGAGGUACUAUGCUGGGGGGUGGAUAGGACCAGUUAUGCUCCCCCUAAAUAAAGAGAAUCACCACGUUUAAAGGUGCCUCUUUGCCAAGUUAGCAGGGGUUAAUGAGCCCUGUUCUUGCUUUAAAUGAGCUUUAGAUGAGCCCUGUUCUUGCUUUAAAAUCCCCGCAGUGGCAUGGGCAGUUCAGAAUCAACCACAUUGAGUGUUGUACAACAUGUCUGCCAAGAACAAUAACACGUUUCAAGGACAGCCUAGGCAACUCAGACUUCUGCAUUUACAAAUGUGAACAAUAUAUGUAACACUUGAGAUUAUUUUGUUUAAUAAACUAAAAGUGUUGUUU
Molecule: long non-coding RNA, 3137 nt
Organism: Hemicordylus capensis (graceful crag lizard)
Lineage: Eukaryota; Metazoa; Chordata; Lepidosauria; Squamata; Cordylidae
Exons: 2
Source: RefSeq, a predicted model, not a curated record